This is a non-coding RNA of Bacteroidetes bacterium MedPE-SWsnd-G2, 83 nucleotides long. The record is from Rfam. NCBI's taxonomy places the organism in Bacteria, Pseudomonadati, Bacteroidota.
UAAAUCGAGGAAGGAUUUGACUGAUUGCAACCUCUGAAACUGAUUUAUUAAUCAGCUAAAACAAAAAUGCUAAAGGACAGUGU